Molecule: ribosomal RNA, 503 nt
Filed under: uncultured bacterium
Lineage: Bacteria
Description: bacterial SSU rRNA
Rfam family: Bacterial small subunit ribosomal RNA
Source: RNAcentral
GAUGAACGCUAGCUACAGGCUUAACACAUGCAAGUCGAGGGGUAGCAGGGUAGCAAUACCGCUGACGACCGGCGCACGGGUGAGUAACACGUAUGCAACCUGCCUGUAAGAGGGGGAUAACCCGGAGAAAUUCGGACUAAUACCGCAUAAUACCACGAGACUGCAUGGUUUUGUGGUUAAACAUUUAUGGCUUACAGAUGGGCAUGCGUAUGAUUAGAUAGUUGGUAGGGUAACGGCCUACCAAGUCUACGAUCAUUAGGGGUUCUGAGAGGAAGGUCCCCCACACUGGUACUGAGACACGGACCAGACUCCUACGGGAGGCAGCAGUGAGGAAUAUUGGUCAAUGGGCGAGAGCCUGAACCAGCCAAGUCGCGUGAAGGAAGAAGGUUCUAUGGAUUGUAAACUUCUUUUGCAGGGGAAUAAAGGACGGUACGUGUACUGUUUUGUAUGUACCUUGCGAAUAAGGAUCGGCUAACUCCGUGCCAGCAGCCGCGGUAAUCUGU